UGUAAGCGUAUACCAAAGUUGUUGCAGUUAAAACGCUCGUAGUCGGAAUUUGGCAGUUCCGGAUGUGUGCGCGUCGUGUGCGCACUUCGCGGGGAUUGCUUUUGUGGUCUUGCGUAGGAUGAGGCACUUUUAUUAGUGAACGUCCUCACGCAACCACUUUUUACUGUGAGAAAAUCAGAGUGCUCAAAGCAGGCAUUUGCCGUGAAUGUAUUAGCAUGGAAUAAUAGAAUAGGACUUGGUUCUAUUUUGUUGGUUUGUUGGGACUGAGUAAUGAUUAAGAGGGACAGUUGGGGGCAUUUGUAUUUCGGUGCUAGAGGUGAAAUUCUUAGAUUACCGAAAGACAAACUGCUGCGAAAGCGUCUGCCAAGGAUAUUUUCAUUGA
RNAcentral lists this ribosomal RNA (382 nucleotides) under uncultured eukaryote. RNAcentral describes it as "partial 18S ribosomal RNA". It matches the Rfam family "Eukaryotic small subunit ribosomal RNA", at positions 592 to 976 of the family's 1831-position model. The record is from RNAcentral.